RNAcentral lists this ribosomal RNA (253 nucleotides) under uncultured bacterium. Its description in RNAcentral is "partial 16S ribosomal RNA". It matches the Rfam family "Bacterial small subunit ribosomal RNA", at positions 524 to 776 of the family's 1533-position model. The record is from RNAcentral.
UACGUAGGGUGCAAGCGUUGUCCGGAUUUACUGGGCGUAAAGGGCGUGCAGGCGGUUUGUUAAGUGCAGGGUGAAAGCUCCCGGCUCAACUGGGAGAGGUCCUUGCAUACUGGCGAACUCGAGGGAGGCAGAGGAAAGUGGAAUUCCCGGUGUAGUGGUGAUAUGCGUAGAUAUCGGGAGGAACACCUGUGGCGAAGGCGGCUUUCUGGGCCUUAUCUGACGCUGAGACGCGAAAGCGUGGGGAGCGAACCGG